UCACCUGCCAGUACUUUUUUGGAAGAGGUUGCAAGUGCGGAUGACCGGUCUUGCUCAGUACUGCAGAUGGCCAAGACACUCAGUGAGGUAGAUUAUUCUCCUGGGCCUGGACGCUCAGCACUCCUCCCCAACCCCUUGGAAUUGCAGCUUCCCCGAGGGCCCUCGGACUACGGACGACCCCUCAGCUUCCCUCCACCCCGCAUCCGGGAGAGCAUCCAAGAAGACUUGGCAGAGGAGGUGUGUUAGACCAGAGCUAGCUGGCUAUGUGUACCUGAUGUGUGUUUCUUCAUUCUUCCACUCAGAACUCACUGGUGUCUACAGCCCCCUUUGCUUGUAGCGGGACAAUGGGCCUUUUGGGGACACAUGAGUCAGCUCCAUUCCUUUCUCAUUUCCCUCAGAGCAUGGGUAGAAUGUGGCUGUUUGCAUGUGUUUUUGUGAAGAGCCAUCCUUUUUAGUUUUCCCCCCUAACAUGCCCUAUUCCCUUAGGCUCCGUGCCCGCAGGGCGGGCGGGCCAGCGGGCUGGGAGAGGCGGGCAUGGGUGCCUGGCUGCG
RNAcentral lists this long non-coding RNA (551 nucleotides) under Rattus norvegicus (Norway rat). RNAcentral's name for it is "long non-coding RNA NONRATT002996". Lineage: Eukaryota; Metazoa; Chordata; Mammalia; Rodentia; Muridae. The record is from RNAcentral.